AUGCGCGAGCAACAAGGCGAGCAGCAGCAGCGACGAUGGGCGUGCCGGGACGGUGGCGGCGCUGAUGAUCUGCACCGGGAAGAGGCAGCUCUUGGUGGAGGCAUUCUUGUCGGAGAUCUUGGCGAGGCCGUCGAAGUCGCAGGCGCGCACGUCCUGGUCCUGCAUCUGGAAGUACAUGUUGAAGGCGUAGGAGAUGUUGCUCAUCUCGUCGAGGCCGUUGCAGGAGCAGCCGUAGCCCAGCGCCGUGCAGUCGCCGCUGGCGCAGGCGUACUGGAUGUUCCCCCCCAGCUUGUCCAUGUCCUCGUCCUUUGCGGCCUCGUCGUCGAACACGCACCACUGCUUGGGCAGGUACUCCACGCCGGACACGGCGGCGAGCCGCCUGUCGUUCCCUUGCCCCGACAGGUCCAUGCUGAACUUGGGCUUGCCGUCGUAGGUGAGGAUGCCCCAGUGGCGCUCGAAGUUGCCCGGCGCGAUGCUCUUCAUGUCCUCGUCGAAGAGGCCGAAGAGGUAGACGUCCAGCUUGCCCGGCCGGAGGUGGGUGCCCUCGUUCUUGCCCAGCUUCUUGAGGAGGCCGUCGUAGAAGCGCCGCGCGAGCUUGGCGUUGGCGUUCUUGUUGCCGUCGGUGGGCCAGCCGAUCUCGCCGACGACGACCUUGAGGCUGGGCACGCCGGCCUUCUUGAGCGCGCUGACGAGCGUGUCGUAGUUGGCGUCGAACACGUUGGAGUAGCUGACGCCGCCGUUGUCCUGGAUGCUGCGGCCGCCGUCGAAGAAGGCGAACUCGAAGGGGAAGUCGUCGCUCUGGUAGAGGCUGAGGAACGGGUAGAUGUUGACGACGAAGGGCGCGCCGUGGUCGUGCAUGAACUUGACCAUGUCGGUCAUGACGCCGUCGAUGUCGGGCCGGAACUUGCCCUCGGACGGCUUGUCGCCGACGUAGACGUCGGCGUUGAGCGGGACGGUGGCCUUGACCUUGUCGCCGAUCCCGGCCUCGUCCAGCGCCUUCUGGAUGUUCUUGAGCGCCGGCAGGGUGUUCUCCAUGAAGCUGCCGUUGUAGCUCUUGAGGAAGGGCUCGUUCCCCACGGCCACGUAGCGGAGCUUGAGCCUGUCCCCGUAGCUGGUGGCGUUCUCCGCCACCCAGUCCUCGGCGUUGCCGUAGCUGGUCAUCGCCUCCAGCAUGUCGUUGGGGAUGCCGAGCAUGACCUCGAUGCCGGAGUCGAGGAGCGCGCCGACGGGCCAGGGGUCCGCGUCGAACAGCUUCACCUUCAUGAUCCCGUUGGCCUUGAGCAUCUUCACCACCUCCUCGGGGUCCAGCGGGUGCGUGCACUGCGAUCCCCAGUUCACGCCCAGGUCAACGGCGGAGGUCGAGGCCACCGACGCAGGGGACACGCCCAGGGCGAGCAGCAGCGCGGCCGCGCCGGCCAGCAGCCGCAGGAGCGGAGCCAUGCCGGUGUUCUCCUUGCUUCGGCCGGCGUGAUCGUGGUUAGUUUUGGCACGUUAGGAUCUGGUGGCGCUCGUGGUCUCCGCGUCGGCCCCUCAUCCUCCCGGGGGCGUGGAAUGGACAGGACAGGAGAGGAAAAUGGCGGGGAAAUCGGUUGGGGUUGA
Molecule: ribosomal RNA, 1599 nt
Filed under: Triticum aestivum (bread wheat)
Lineage: Eukaryota; Viridiplantae; Streptophyta; Magnoliopsida; Poales; Poaceae
Description: partial small subunit ribosomal RNA
Source: RNAcentral